GGCUCGAUUCCCACUGCGAUCGUGUAGAAUCUUGUACCCGCGAUUCAAUUAUCAGGGGUGUUUUCCUGAUCACACUUUUUAUGUUCCAAAAAUGGGAGGAGGAAAGGGUCAUAAAGAAAAUAA
Long non-coding RNA from Asparagus officinalis (garden asparagus), 123 nucleotides. RefSeq lists it as uncharacterized. The record is from RefSeq and is a predicted model, not a curated record. NCBI's taxonomy places the organism in Eukaryota, Viridiplantae, Streptophyta, Magnoliopsida, Asparagales, Asparagaceae. The transcript has 2 exons.